UCUCGUAGCUUGCUAUGAGAACAAUUAGUGGCAGACGGGUGAGUAAUGCAUAGGAAUCUACCUAGUAGUAUAGGAUAGCCACUAGAAAUGGUGGGUAAUACUGUAUAAUCCCUGCGGGGGAAAGAUUUAUCGCUACAUGAUGAGCCUAUGUUAGAUUAGCUAGUUGGUGGGGUAAUGGCCUACCAAGGCAGUGAUCUAUAGCUGGUCUGAGAGGAUGAUCAGCCACACUGGAACUGAGACACGGUCCAGACUCCUACGGGAGGCAGCAGUGGGGAAUAUUGGACAAUGGGCGCAAGCCCGAUCCAGCUAUGCCGCGUGAGUGAGGAAGGCCUUAGGGUUGUAAAACUCUUUCAGUGGGGAAGAUAAUGACGGUACCCACAGAAGAAGUCCCGGCAAACUCCGUGCCAGCAGCCGCGGUAAUACGGAGGGGGCAAGCGUUGUUCGGAAUUAUUGGGCGUAAAGGGCAUGUAGGUGGUUUGGUAAGUUAAAGGUGAAAUGCCAGGGCUUAACCCUGGAGCUGCUUUUAAUACUGCCAGACUGGAGUCCGGGAG
This 551-nucleotide ribosomal RNA is filed under the name Anaplasma bovis. RNAcentral's name for it is "bacterial SSU rRNA". It matches the Rfam family "Bacterial small subunit ribosomal RNA", at positions 71 to 654 of the family's 1533-position model. The record is from RNAcentral. Lineage: Bacteria; Pseudomonadati; Pseudomonadota; Alphaproteobacteria; Rickettsiales; Anaplasmataceae.